CUCAUCCUGACCUGAGGUCUCUUUAUUCCAAUUGUCUUCAAUCAAAUUCUGACUUUGUUGCAGAUGCCAGCAGAAGUUAUCCAAAUGAAAUGGAAAUAAAUUGAUUACAAAUAAUAUUCAAAUAAAAAAUAAAUAACUUGUGAUACCUGCUGAAAAAUUUAGUGACUGACAUAUAUCUUAAAUAUGUGUCUCCUUUAAUUUGGUCUUUCUGUUAAUAAUGUGGUAAACUAAAGGCUAAAGGUAGUCCAGCCUAUGAAUCAGGAGUAACAUAGGCAUGAGUUUUUCUUGUGUUUGCAUAUACACUUAAAAGUUGGUUACUUACAAGAUAUAACUUUAAAUCUCAUAAAAAUUAUUGUUACACAACUUUGAACUGUGUUUUUUCUUGUGUAAAAGUGAAAAAGUAGUGAACUAGGCAAAACAGAAUGUAGUAAAAGAUACUCUCACCUGGCCAUCAAUAUGGAAACAUUUAAUUUAAAAUAGUUUCCAGAAACAUCAAGAGAAGAUGCAUAUUAGUGUGUUAAUUAUUCUCAUUCUCCAUAGCAGGAACUAUGCUUUAUUCAUCCUUGUACUCCUGAAAGCCAAGCUGGCCAGUAGAAGGUUUAUAGAAAAUGUCUUAUAAAUAUGUUUGUUUUAUUGUACAACUUUUGUCUUGUUUAUAUAAAAUGUAUAUAUAGAUAAGUGAUUUUUUCUAUUAGUCAUAAAUAUUGAUUUCACAUGUAGAUGGUGUGAAAUGCAGAUGUGGAUCCACAUUUGACCAAACUUGUUCAUCACAGAGUUAUCACAAUCUCUGGGUCUAAUCUAAGAAAUAUACUGUUUUCUUAUACCAAGUCAAGACUCUAUGACCUGCUCCUCUACCUAUUUUCACCAUUCUCAUCUCUUCCUAUUUACAGCUUCAAGAAAGGCCUCCUCUGCUAAAAAUGCUCUCUGAUUAGCCAUUCACUGCUUCCUGAACUAUGAAGACAUCUUCUAGGAAUACUCAGGAUCUUCUGCUAUGUGGCUUUAAUUUAUUUUAAGAUUAAUUCCUCAUUACCUUCUUACACAAAGCCACCAUUAGCAUAUCAAGCACAGCUGUACAAAUUUUUAAAAGGCCAAAAGAUGUAUCUGCCAAUUCUAGGAGGAUAUAAACCUGAAGGCACAAAUCUGGGCUGGAGCACAUGGUUUCCCUUGUGAGAAGAAAAAGUCUCCUUCCUCUGAAUGGACACACCUUGCACACCAGGGCACAAGGUUUGUCUAGAAGAGCACAGCUGAACAUCAUAAAGUGCAGAACCACACACCUGGCAUCCUUGUCCCUACACAAGACGGGGUUUCACCGGUUAGCCAGGAUGGUCUCGAUCUCCUGAUCUCGUGAUCCGCCUGCCUCGGCCUCCCAAAGUGCUGAGAUUACAGACAUGAGCCACCACGCCCGGCCACCUUGGAUCCUUUAAAAGUAAUGUAUGGUUUAAGGAGGAAAUUUGGUUGAAUACGUUUAAGGAAAUAUUAAUCCAACCUGUUUAAUAAACAUUACCUGUGAACAUUGCAUUUUGAAACUGUUCAAAUAUACCAAAUGAUUCAUAUUAAUUAGAACAAAAAGUCCAAAAAGAGAAAACUACAAAUUCUAUUACACUAUUUAAAAUAGCAUACAAAAACAAUUUUGAGCAAAAUAAUGUAAAAGUAGAAACUGAUAAAUUAAAAAAUAGAAACGUAGAAUUAAUUCAAUUUAAUCCCUGUAUCAUUGGAUACACACACAGACAUCAAAGAGAGAGAGAACAUGAAAUAUAUUAGAACAUUAGGUAUGAGAAGAAGGUAUAUAUCCAAAAUUAAAUAUAAAUUUAACUGCUAUCUGGGUUAUUAUUUUAAAAUCUCACUUAAAUGAAUCUAUAUCUGAGCAGAUACAAAUUAUUUACAUUUUUCUAAAGGGUUAACUGAUAAAUUCUCAAAACAUUUCAACUAUCAGAAAAAUCAUCAUACUGUGUAAACAACUGCAGAAAACACAAAAUAAUAAAUUCUCAUGUUUUCAAACUAACAAAAUUCUUCUCUUAAUGAUUUCCAAAACACAUAAAAAGAAAAUGACAGAUCAUUCCUAAUAUUUAUUCAAAUUUUUUAAAAAAAUUAACGAUAUAAUCCAGCAGUAUGUUAUAGAAAUAAUAAGUAAAAUUAGUUCUAAUAUGACAAAGGUGAUUUAAUAUUUGAGAAU
Molecule: long non-coding RNA, 2173 nt
Filed under: Homo sapiens (human)
Lineage: Eukaryota; Metazoa; Chordata; Mammalia; Primates; Hominidae
Description: HSALNT0092346
Source: RNAcentral